GGUUAAGCGACUAAGCGUACACGGUGGAUGCCCUGGCAGUCAGAGGCGAUGAAGGACGUGCUAAUCUGCGAUAAGCGUCGGUAAGGUGAUAUGAACCGUUAUAACCGGCGAUUUCCGAAUGGGGAAACCCAGUGUGUUUCGACACACUAUCAUUAACUGAAUCCAUAGGUUAAUGAGGCGAACCGGGGGAACUGAAACAUCUAAGUACCCCGAGGAAAAGAAAUCAACCGAGAUUCCCCCAGUAGCGGCGAGCGAACGGGGAGCAGCCCAGAGCCUGAAUCAGUGUGUGUGUUAGUGGAAGCGUCUGGAAAGGCGCGCGAUACAGGGUGACAGCCCCGUACACAAAAAUGCACAUACUGUGAGCUCGAUGAGUAGGGCGGGACACGUGGUAUCCUGUCUGAAUAUGGGGGGGACCAUCCUCCAAGGCUAAAUACUCCUGACUGACCGAUAGUGAACCAGUACCGUGAGGGAAAGGCGAAAAGAACCCCGGCGAGGGGAGUGAAAAAGAACCUGAAACCGUGUACGUACAAGCAGUGGGAGCACAGAGCAAUCUGUGUGACUGCGUACCUUUUGUAUAAUGGGUCAGCGACUUAUAUUCUGUAGCAAGGUUAACCGAAUAGGGGAGCCGAAGGGAAACCGAGUCUUAACUGGGCGUUAAGUUGCAGGGUAUAGACCCGAAACCCGGUGAUCUAGCCAUGGGCAGGUUGAAGGUUGGGUAACACUAACUGGAGGACCGAACCGACUAAUGUUGAAAAAUUAGCGGAUGACUUGUGGCUGGGGGUGAAAGGCCAAUCAAACCGGGAGAUAGCUGGUUCUCCCCGAAAGCUAUUUAGGUAGCGCCUCGUGAAUUCAUCUCCGGGGUAGAGCACUGUUUCGGCAAGGGGGUCAUCCCGACUUACCAACCCGAUGCAAACUGCGAAUACCGGAGAAUGUUAUCACGGGAGACACACGGCGGGUGCUAACGUCCGUCGUGAAGAGGGAAACAACCCAGACCGCCAGCUAAGGUCCCAAAGUCAUGGUUAAGUGGGAAACGAUGUGGGAAGGCCCAGACAGCCAGGAUGUUGGCUUAGAAGCAGCCAUCAUUUAAAGAAAGCGUAAUAGCUCACUGGUCGAGUCGGCCUGCGCGGAAGAUGUAACGGGGCUAAACCAUGCACCGAAGCUGCGGCAGCGACGCUUAUGCGUUGUUGGGUAGGGGAGCGUUCUGUAAGCCUGCGAAGGUGUGCUGUGAGGCAUGCUGGAGGUAUCAGAAGUGCGAAUGCUGACAUAAGUAACGAUAAAGCGGGUGAAAAGCCCGCUCGCCGGAAGACCAAGGGUUCCUGUCCAACGUUAAUCGGGGCAGGGUGAGUCGACCCCUAAGGCGAGGCCGAAAGGCGUAGUCGAUGGGAAACAGGUUAAUAUUCCUGUACUUGGUGUUACUGCGAAGGGGGGACGGAGAAGGCUAUGUUGGCCGGGCGACGGUUGUCCCGGUUUAAGCGUGUAGGCUGGUUUUCCAGGCAAAUCCGGAAAAUCAAGGCUGAGGCGUGAUGACGAGGCACUACGGUGCUGAAGCAACAAAUGCCCUGCUUCCAGGAAAAGCCUCUAAGCAUCAGGUAACAUCAAAUCGUACCCCAAACCGACACAGGUGGUCAGGUAGAGAAUACCAAGGCGCUUGAGAGAACUCGGGUGAAGGAACUAGGCAAAAUGGUGCCGUAACUUCGGGAGAAGGCACGCUGAUAUGUAGGUGAAGUCCCUCGCGGAUGGAGCUGAAAUCAGUCGAAGAUACCAGCUGGCUGCAACUGUUUAUUAAAAACACAGCACUGUGCAAACACGAAAGUGGACGUAUACGGUGUGACGCCUGCCCGGUGCCGGAAGGUUAAUUGAUGGGGUUAGCGCAAGCGAAGCUCUUGAUCGAAGCCCCGGUAAACGGCGGCCGUAACUAUAACGGUCCUAAGGUAGCGAAAUUCCUUGUCGGGUAAGUUCCGACCUGCACGAAUGGCGUAAUGAUGGCCAGGCUGUCUCCACCCGAGACUCAGUGAAAUUGAACUCGCUGUGAAGAUGCAGUGUACCCGCGGCAAGACGGAAAGACCCCGUGAACCUUUACUAUAGCUUGACACUGAACAUUGAGCCUUGAUGUGUAGGAUAGGUGGGAGGCUUUGAAGUGUGGACGCCAGUCUGCAUGGAGCCGACCUUGAAAUACCACCCUUUAAUGUUUGAUGUUCUAACGUUGACCCGUGAUCCGGGUUGCGGACAGUGUCUGGUGGGUAGUUUGACUGGGGCGGUCUCCUCCUAAAGAGUAACGGAGGAGCACGAAGGUUGGCUAAUCCUGGUCGGACAUCAGGAGGUUAGUGCAAUGGCAUAAGCCAGCUUGACUGCGAGCGUGACGGCGCGAGCAGGUGCGAAAGCAGGUCAUAGUGAUCCGGUGGUUCUGAAUGGAAGGGCCAUCGCUCAACGGAUAAAAGGUACUCCGGGGAUAACAGGCUGAUACCGCCCAAGAGUUCAUAUCGACGGCGGUGUUUGGCACCUCGAUGUCGGCUCAUCACAUCCUGGGGCUGAAGUAGGUCCCAAGGGUAUGGCUGUUCGCCAUUUAAAGUGGUACGCGAGCUGGGUUUAGAACGUCGUGAGACAGUUCGGUCCCUAUCUGCCGUGGGCGCUGGAGAAUUGAGGGGGGCUGCUCCUAGUACGAGAGGACCGGAGUGGACGCAUCACUGGUGUUCGGGUUGUCAUGCCAAUGGCACUGCCCGGUAGCUAAAUGCGGAAGAGAUAAGUGCUGAAAGCAUCUAAGCACGAAACUUGCCCCGAGAUGAGUUCUCCCUGACUCCUUGAGAGUCCUGAAGGAACGUUGAAGACGACGACGUUGAUAGGCCGGGUGUGUAAGCGCAGCGAUGCGUUGAGCUAACCGGUACUAAUGAACCGUGAGGCUUAACCUU
RNAcentral lists this ribosomal RNA (2906 nucleotides) under Escherichia coli. Its description in RNAcentral is "23S ribosomal RNA". It matches the Rfam family "Bacterial large subunit ribosomal RNA". The record is from RNAcentral. Lineage: Bacteria; Pseudomonadati; Pseudomonadota; Gammaproteobacteria; Enterobacterales; Enterobacteriaceae.